UGCCUACGGGAGGCAGCAGUGGGGAAUAUUGCACAAUGGGGGAAACCCUGAUGCAGCGACGCCGCGUGGGCGAGGAAGUACCUCGGUAUGUAAAGCCCUAUCAGCAGGGAAGAAACAGGACAGUACCUGACUAAGAAGCCCCGGCUAACUACGUGCCAGCAGCCGCGGUAAUACGUAGGGGGCAAGCGUUAUCCGGAAUUACUGGGUGUAAAGGGAGCGUAGACGGCAAUGCAAGUCCGGAGUGGAAUGCGGCAGCUCAACUGCCGAACUGCUCUGGAAACUGUAUGGCUUGAGUGCAGGAGGGG
RNAcentral lists this ribosomal RNA (305 nucleotides) under uncultured bacterium. RNAcentral's name for it is "bacterial SSU rRNA". It matches the Rfam family "Bacterial small subunit ribosomal RNA", at positions 335 to 657 of the family's 1533-position model. The record is from RNAcentral.